AAAAUGGAGAGUUUGAUCCUGGCUCAGGAUGAACGCUGGCGGUAUGCUUAACACAUGCAAGUCGAACGGUCUCUUCGGAGAUAGUGGCGGACGGGUGAGUAACGCGUGAGAAUCUGUCUUCAGGUCGGGGACAACCACUGGAAACGGUGGCUAAUACCGGAUGUGCCGAAAGGUGAAAGGCU
This 182-nucleotide ribosomal RNA is filed under the name Tolypothrix sp. FACHB-123. RNAcentral describes it as "partial 16S ribosomal RNA". It matches the Rfam family "Bacterial small subunit ribosomal RNA", at positions 1 to 209 of the family's 1533-position model. Lineage: Bacteria; Bacillati; Cyanobacteriota; Cyanophyceae; Nostocales; Tolypothrichaceae. The record is from RNAcentral.